RNAcentral lists this transfer RNA (60 nucleotides) under Megabeleses liriodendrovorax. RNAcentral's name for it is "tRNA-Val". The record is from RNAcentral. Lineage: Eukaryota; Metazoa; Arthropoda; Insecta; Hymenoptera; Tenthredinidae.
CAGAUUAAAAUUAAAUUUUAUUUACAGUAAAAUGUUAGUUGUUAAUUCAACUUAAUUUGA